Small nucleolar RNA from Oncorhynchus nerka (sockeye salmon), 76 nucleotides. The record is from RefSeq and is a predicted model, not a curated record. NCBI's taxonomy places the organism in Eukaryota, Metazoa, Chordata, Actinopteri, Salmoniformes, Salmonidae.
AUGCAAUGAUGUUUUGAAUUUCUUCACCUGAAAUAAUCAUGAAGUUGUUUUAUUGAGCUUUUUAACCCUGAGCAUC